Long non-coding RNA from Bos grunniens (domestic yak), 2297 nucleotides. Lineage: Eukaryota; Metazoa; Chordata; Mammalia; Artiodactyla; Bovidae. The record is from Ensembl.
ACAGUUCUACGUUUGGACCCUGUGUCUCAAAAAUCUAACAGUGCCUCCUCAAGUCAGGAAAAUCCCUUUGCCAUUUCUUGCAAAGGCAAAGGGAAUCUCUUUGGUCCUUCAGUUACUUCUUCUUCUUCUUAUCUCUCUUCGUCCUUCCUCUAGGCCUUCAAUUUUAUCAGAUCUUCACUAGUAAACUGCACAUUCACAUCUUUGAAAGUCCACAACUUGAAGGUUCUUAUGUAGGGGACUUAUUGUACUCACAAGCAAUAGCCACUGUCUCAGCACUUUUUGCACUGAUUCCAAUAGUGUGAUACUAAGAGGGUGUGAUGACACUUGUCCCUGCAUGGCUUUCAUUAAAGAAGUUCCUUAGAGAACUGGAUCUUUAUAAAGAGAGUAAGCUUGGCUGCCUUAGCUCCAAAGGAGGACAUUCUUUAUUAUACUGAACAGUAAGCAUGGCUGCUCUUUGCCCCAGAGAGAGACACUAUCUCAAUCUCAAUCUUCUAAGGCUGCUUACACACAAUGUGCAUACAUGUGUGCGUGCUCAGGCAUGUAGGACACUUUACAACUUUGUGGACUGUAGUAGGUUUAUAAUACUUUCUCACAAAUAAUAUAUAAAAACAAAAAGUAAACAUUUUUAAUCUUAUAGCACAGCACCUUGAAAAGUACAGUAGUACAGUACAACCACUGGCAUCCAGGAGCUGGCAGUGAGUGAAUGGGCAAGAAGAGUUACUGACUGGAGGAGGGAUAAAAGGUGGGAGGUGGUAGAACUGAAGGAUCAAUGGCAAUAGGAGACAGAGGGCAAGCUGCAAUCUCACUUGCAACUGAUGUUGAUGGCAUAUGUUCUGGUUUCUUGCUGGAUUCAAUUCUAUCUAUCCUGUUUUUUUAAAAAAAGAAAAUCCAGUAUGUCUGAGUAGUAGCUCUUUUCUUCCCAUCAUAGAAGACACAGCAGCACUGGAUUGCAUUCUGUACGGCUGUUGCAACCUUCAUGUACAGUUCUACGUUUGGACCCUGUGUCUCAAAAAUCUAACAGUGCCUCCUCAAGUCAGGAAAAUCCCUUUGCCAUUUCUUGCAAAGGCAAAGGGAAUCUCUUUGGUCCUUCAGUUACUUCUUCUUCUUAUCUCUCUUCUUCAAAUCCUCUUCCCCUCCCACUCCUCUUCUGCUGGAUGAGCUUGGACUCUUUCACAAGCCAGGACUCGAAGAGAUCUUGGACUCUUUCACAAGCCAGGACUCGAAGGGAAAGGGACUUCUGCAACAUGGCUCCUCUUAUCCAAUGAAUCCCCUGAGACCUGAUUCCACCAUAAUGCCAUCCACUCAGGGACAAUGUCCUCAUCCGUGGGACUCCUGAGUGGAAGGAAUGAGCAACUGCUGGCCCCAGGGCAGGUGGAAGAAGGGUUCAGACAGCUGGACUUUGGGUCAGGGGCUCCCAAACCAGACCCUAAAGGUGACCACUCUGGCCAGGCCUCACCAUGAGAAGAGAGGGGAACUAUGCCCAGAGGGGGUCAGGAAACGUGCUAAGGAAGUAGGUCAGCGGGAAAAGGCGAGCAGACAAUGCAGGGGGACGACUGUCUUGGAGCCCCGUACGUGAGAAUGUUACACUACCUGCUUGCUUUUCAAAGAGAAAGGUUUUUCAUGUUUCAGACAAAACCAAUGAAUAUUUCCCCCAUGAUGAGUCUUUUUUUUAGAGGAAAAUCUCCUAUAUUCUAAGUUUGUAUUCACCUACCAAGAGCCUAAAGUAAGAUGUUACAGGUAAAGGCUGUAUGAUUAUAUCUAUAAAACUCAACAGGGAAUAUUGUCUUAAAAUAUAAGAUUUUCCAAUGUUUGGUCUGAAUAUCUUUUCACAAUGAAGUCCAUAAGUAGGGACACAAUUUCCUAAAAUCUCACUUUAUCUGCUAUACUAGUUUUCACCAUCUAAACGGAAGCAAGAUAUGAUUUUUGUUCUUUCAAAUAGCAACAAGUUGCUCAGUUAUUCCAGAACAGGAAAAAAACAUUAAAUAUGUCACCAUAAAUUACUAAAAUUUGGUUACUAUUUGUAAGUCUAAAAUUAACAAAAUAAUACCAUCACCAUGAUUCAUCUUCUAUGUUCCUGAAUUUAUACUACCAACAGAGAGAAAGUUUGUAUUGGAUGGUUAGAAAACUUCUGAUGAAGUAGCAGGAAGGGACAAGAUGGAAACCACAAUAAGCAGUUCUUUACCUCGACUGAGCACCAAGAGGGAGCUGCCAAAAUAACCCAGGCUUGCAAAAAAAAUCACAGCAUCCAGCUGUGGGCUUGUCCACCAACUUGAGACAAUUUCUCAAAGCCCUUUCUA